This is a long non-coding RNA of Hypanus sabinus (Atlantic stingray), 1123 nucleotides long. RefSeq lists it as uncharacterized. The transcript has 5 exons. NCBI's taxonomy places the organism in Eukaryota, Metazoa, Chordata, Chondrichthyes, Myliobatiformes, Dasyatidae. The record is from RefSeq and is a predicted model, not a curated record.
UUUAAGCUUCCUGGUUGCUUCUGCAAUCAGGCUCACCCACUGAAUAGAUGGCUCACAGGCAGAAGCUCACACCAGGUUGUAUGUGCUACAUAUGAAUUGUAUUCAGAGUCUGAAAAUCAGUUCCAUUGACCUCAACAGCACAGCAGCAAAAUUUAUGGCAGCAGUAACUCCGAAAUGAAGCCCGCUUUCUAAUUGUGCGCUCUGGGAUUACGAAGGCACUAACAAUAUUACUUAGUGGACAGAAAAGACACAGGAACAGCAGAGGGAUUGGGACUUGUUUUGCACUCCCUCCUCCAUUUUAACCAAUUUUUACAGGAGUACUAUUGAGAGUGUCCUGACCAGCUGCAUCUCCAUCUGGUACGGGAAUUGCAAGAUAUCUGACCACAAUGGAUUGUGAGGACUGCUGAGAGGGUCUUCGGGGUCUCUCAUCCGAGAUACUUACCAGGAGUGCUGUGUACGCAGGGCCCUAAGCAUCGUCAAUGAUCCCUGAUGCUGCUUGACCCACUAAGUUCUUCCAGGACUUUGUGUGUUUGUAGAAUCUCAGAUGGUUGUGAGGAAGCAUGCAGGAGUGAGAUUGAAUUGCUGGUUUGCAAAAACAACCUUCCACUCAACAUCAGUAAGACCAAGGAACUGAUUGUGGACUGCAGGAAGGGGAAGUCCUGGAAACACACACCAAUCCUCAUCGAGGAAUGAGCAGUGGAAAGGGCUGCAUCGCCCUAAUCCUUUCCUGUCUGGUUCCUGAAUAGUUGUUUGAAUUGAAACACUGGACGAUUCAGGAAUGCUUUGCUCACUGUGAUUUCAAGCAUUCAGGCUUCAAGAUGCCAGAAGCAGCCAGAAGUGAAAAUGAAAUGAUUUCACUAUUUCAACAAGUAAGGAACCACAAAGAAUUUGAAGGUAUCAACAAUCAUCUUGAAUGUGACAAUGAAAAUGAAGAUUUGGAGGAUGCAAUCGUCAAAAACAUUGUGUGAAGAUGAUACCAGCUCUGCGUCCAGGGUUUGAAGGGCAAUUCGUUUUAUCAUCACAACAUCAAGCAGACUGCAGUGAAAAUGGAGUUUGAAGUGGGGGAAAAAAGGAUUUGGAAUUACUCCUGGAUUGUUCUAUAAAACCAGUGUAAAUAAAUGCC